Long non-coding RNA from Felis catus (domestic cat), 6676 nucleotides. RefSeq lists it as uncharacterized. Lineage: Eukaryota; Metazoa; Chordata; Mammalia; Carnivora; Felidae. The record is from RefSeq and is a predicted model, not a curated record. The transcript has 4 exons.
GGUGAUUUCAAAACAGGAAGCCUCGGUGGGGAGCGGGGAGGAGUCGGCGAAGGGAGAGCUGCUGCAAAGGGGCCCAGGUGCAUAGGCGGGACUCAGGCGGGAGAUGUCGCUGGCGCCGGUCUCCACGGACAGGAAAGGCCCCGGGCCCAGCCCAGCUCCUAAGCAGCAUCGGUCUGGGGCCCGGCGGGGACUGUUCAGCGGGCCAGGCGGCAACAAAGACGCAUCUCUCCCUGGGGCAGGGGUUUUCUGUGAGGAAGAAGGGAGCACCCUAUGCCUUCCUGUCUGCCAACGCAGAGCCCCUUCUGAGGAAACCUCCUCGGGAGCCCUCCAGGACUGACUCCUGAGGGCCGCUGUCCCUGGCCCCUUAGGCCCUCUGCGACUUAACUCGGCCAUGCCCCUUUGCAGUGGAAUAUUCUGUCUGAUGCCCUGUCCCCACCCCACUCUAACAUGCAACUCGCCAGGGUUUCUAGUCUCAGCUCCUGGCGGCACCUCGCGUUUUGCAAAGUUGUUUCAUCACCAGCGUGUCCUUCCAUCUUCAGGACAGCUCCCGGAGGUUGCGAACGGCAUGCCUAUUUUACAGAGGCGGAAGCUGGGAGCAAAGAGGGUAAGCCACGUGUGCCGACGUUCCAGAAGCAGACCUUCUGAUCUCAGACUCUUCCUUUUCAAGGAAGUCCCAACUCCUAUCUCCUACCUGGCUCUGAACCCAAGGUGUGUCUAAGGUGGCCAGGGAUGCCAGUACAGCCAGGGAGAAGAGUGAAGAGACCAGUUAUUUCGGGCUGGAAAUGAAUUUAACCAAACCAGAUGUCGUGGAAGACAGGAGAAAAAGAGAAACUGGGAGAAAAAUGGUUUCAGGGUUUUGCUCUCUUUCCGGGAAGGAUGUGUUCUCCAUCUUGUAGGUCUUCCUCCUCCAUGAGUUUAUUAUGAGCUUCUUGAGGAAGAAGACCAGCUCUUCAUCCUUCACGGUGCCAACGAUGUUUGUUGAAUUGAAGAAGAAAGAGCUAAAAGCCUAAGCCCUGUACAAGUCCCCAGACAAAAAGGUCAGAAACGUGGAAGGAGGCUGUGCUUUAGCAGAUGUUAGCUUGUAACUGUCCACGUCAAACACUGGCCAUACCAGUGAGAUAAACAGAAAUUAGGAAACACUCACGGCUUCCCUCAUCUUCCUCAUGCCCAGUCCUCAAGCAGGAACCAAGGCAUCCUGAGUGAGGCUGACUGUACUUCCUCUGCUCCAUCCGCAUGCUCCCCUGACUCGGGCCAGACUGUUUCUCACCUGUCCAGUCCACUCUGGUUUUCCCCUAGCCUUUCCUCCCUCUUGUACACCAUCCUCAUUGCUGGCAGGGUCAUUAUUCUAGAACUUAGAUUUGACCGUAUUACCUCUGCUUAAGCCUUCGCACUCCCUGUUAACUGAAAGAUAUCAUCUUUUCCACAUGGCAUCCGAGGUGCUCCAUGGUGGUGCCCAAAUCCACCCUUCUAGACUCAACCCUGCCAUUUUCCUCCCAGGCCCCCUACAUCUCAACAACCCUGAACUCUCUCUCCCCCUCAAUACGUUGUUUCCUUGUCUUUGCGCAUGCUGGGCCCCUCUGCCCGGAAAACUGCUCCCCCUUCUCCACACAUACAUGUUCUCUACACACUUUUCUAUAUCCAGCCCAAAUAGCUCUCUGUGCAACACAGUGGAGUUAAUUGUUCCCACCAAGGCCUCAUAGAUCUGUUUGGGUAUCCAUUAAGCUGUGUGUUCAUUUACAGAACCCAAAGAACAUAGGACGAUGUCUUUUACUUCUUUGAUCUCCAACACCUAUCCUAUACUGGGUGCUCAAGAAAUGUUGAAUAAAUAAAGGAAUAAAGUCUAGGUCUUUGUGAGUCAGGUUGGUGGAACAGGCCUUCCUAUCUGUCUAGGCUUUUGUUUCUUCCCUUAACUACAAGACUGUGUAUCUAGCCUUUCUUCAUGACAAGCUGUUCUCGUUAGAGAAGAGUUAUAUUAUUCUAGCUUUCAGUCACCCACUGGCUGAUGGGUUAUCCAAUGGAAACUCUGUUGCCCGUCUACUAUAUGGAUAAGAAUUGCAAAUGAAAGCAGCUUAGUGUGCUAAAAACAAGAUCUUAAGUACAUUCGAAGGGAAAAUAAACAAAUGGGGAAUGUAUGCCAUUGGUAUUAUAUGUGAUGGCUUUAAUGUCAUUUUGCUGAUCAUUUAUGCAGUUCCCCUUCUCUGGCCAACCCCUUAAGUGCAAAUAAUUGAGGGUUGUCAAAACAUUUUCAAUAACUCUGACCUUUGCACAUAUACGGUGAGUAAGAAGGUGUAGAAAAAUUACUGGCCUUCAAAAAGGGGAAAGGUUCACUCCUGAAUUGCUUAAGAAAUGACAAAAUGAGUUCAUAUAAAGCUUGAUAGGGAACAGGAAGUUAAAAAAAAAAAAAACUGUGAUAAGGAAAGAGAAAUGCUGACCCAGAAAAGAUGAUCUGAAAAUGCAGAGGGAAACUUUUUUGACACAGAUGUAAUGUAAGAUCAUUGCUCUGAGGUGUUUUUUUUUUGUUUGUUUGUUUUUUAAGAUAGGGCUAUAAAAGUGAGAAUUGAACUCAUGAUUCUGUAAGACAAGCAUGUCUGAUGAGCGGGGGGAAAUGGUUAUUCACUCUACUGGAAUUGCUUUAAUGGAAACUUCUUGAUGAGAGUUGUGUCUUAAAAUACUCAUCCAGUGAUGAGGAGUUAUUUCAAGAUGUGAAGUCAAGGAGGUGGUUGCAGUGAGGUUCGUGUGUGAAGCACGCCAUGUCUUCAGGAUGCCGAGUGGAGCCAGAUGAACAGUGUGCCAACAACUGUUCCCACUGGCCUUUUUGGACAGCUGGUUCCCAUCCCAGGGACAUACUGGCAGCCAUCAGCAACUAGUAAAUCUAUGAAUGGCGCCCAAGCAAAAGGGCGGGGCGAGGCCUUGAGCUCCUUCCUUUCUCCUUGGUAAUCCCCAUCUGCCCAGCAGAGUCCUUCCCUCUGGCUCAGCCGUCCCAAACUCUUCUCCAUUCUCGCUCUCUACUACAACAGUAGACAAGGCCCCCAGUAGACCUCCGGGCCUCCAGCCCGCUUUCUGUGCCCAUGAAAACCAACAGCUUUUGAAGUGCAACUCUCAAGAGAGGAGAAAUUAAAUUUCAACUGUCCAAUUCGGCUGUCCCUGUUCCGGUGCGUCAUUCAAGACCCAGGUCAAUGUCACCUCCUCUGAUCCUUCUUCCAGUUCUCCCAGGCAGCAAGACACUACUUCUCCUGUGUUAAUAUGUUUCUGUACAUGCCUCCACUUUCAUAGACUCCUAUCGCUACUAUGGUAAUCUGGUUGCACACCUUGGGUGCCCUUAAAGUCAAAGACUCCAAGUCUCCAUUCCCCCAAGCCUAGCACAAGGCUUCUCAGUAUGUGCUUGUGGAAUGAAAUGUCCAUAUGAAUAUACUUCCGAAUGAAGAGCAACCGUGGGCAGAUUUUGUCUGUUGACAUCCUUUUGAAGACAAGAGCCAAACAUGUUGAACGGCAGCCAUUGCCCAUGUGAAACUUGAAUUUGGGCUGAGGUUUGGUGCAAGGUGCCUGAGCCACAUAAACAAGCAAACUGGAGGGCUGGGAUUGGUUUCCAGUAACUUAUCAGUGACAUACUUGGGGAUGUGAACACUCCCCUUUCCAAAGUCAAUACCCAGUCCUUGCCAGACAUCUUCUCCUGAAGCACUUAUUAAACGGGGCGCCACGGAGCUCCAGAAAUAAAGGAGCUUGAAGAAAGCACUUGGCAUUUAUGAUGGUUUGGAUUAAAAUUUAAUUGGGACUGAGAUGGACUGAGUGCGAAGCUAAGGUGAAUUUCCUAGUGCAAAGGGGAGCUCAUUUUCUGUUUGUGUGAGGUAACCUAUGUGUUCACCCCACCCCUACACUCGCUCCCCAUAUCCACAGUCCUUUCUCAAUUCCUAUUUAGCACAAGGCUCUGGGUCUCUAAAGAGAGGAAGGCCAAUUACAUCACCCAUGUGGGUGGGAGACAUUGACCCUGAUAUGCCAAAGGCCUUUAAAACCUUCUGUUUGAUAUGAUGUAGGUACAGUGGUGGGUACACCAUAAUAGGUCAGAAAUUUCAAUACUAUUCAUUGGAAGAGAUGGAAAGGUUUCACGGGCGGGAGAGAAGGAGGGAAGGUAGAAUUCUAGCACUAAUUUGAAGAGAAGGAGCCAUUUGGGGAAACUAGAAGUUUAAAAAUAGCUCACCUUUGGGGCACCUGGGUGGCUCAGUCAGUUAAGCGGCCGACUCUUGAUCUCUGCUCAGGUCAUGAUCUCACAGUUUGUGAGAUCAAGCCCUGUGUUGAGCUCUGCCCUGACAGCACGGAACCUGCUGGGGAUUCGCUCUCUCUCUCUCUCUCUCUCUCCCCCUCCCCCACUUACUUGCAAGAGCUCGCUCUCAAAAAAACUUUAAAAAAAUAGCUCAACUUUUUAGGUCUUAUGGCUAAUCCUUAUCGAAUGGCAUCCAGAACGCUGUCAGACCCUUUGGGCAUAGGACAUUUCAGGGGAAGACUUCUAGGAUAAAGCUGUUGGCAUACCCAGGCAACCCUCACUUUAAGGCUAUUUUAAAUGGGCUUGUCGGCUUAUAUAAUUGAGGCUUGUUGGGAGCUGGAAGAGGGGUGGUGGGAAAACCAUGAUUUCAUCUCUGUUAUAAACACAGGAAAUAAGUGUGCCACGAAAGGACUUCAUAGGUUGUGUUUUACAAGCUGUGGGAAAUGCCAUGGGAGAACCUAAGCCUACCUUAUGGUGAGAUGAAGUCCAGCCAGGAGCAAAAUUCCUGAGUCUCAGUUAAGAUAUUGAUACCUAAAAUGUGAAGAGUAGAAAGGGAAGCCUGGGGAAGCCUGGCUGGCUCAGUGGGUAGAGCCUGUGAUUCUUGAUCUUGGGGUUGUGAGUUCGAACCCCAUGUUGGAUGUAGGAAGAAACAAAAAAAGGCAGGUCCAGAUACCCCCUGUCUAAAUGUUUGGAAGUAAUAAAUCAAGUGAACAAACUGGUCAAUUAAAUAGGUCUUACCCUCCUACUUGACAAAUAUCCCUUCAUAACAGCCCGAUUAGAUUUCUCAAGCUGCUUGGCGUUCUGUGCAAGAGAUAGCAGCCAACAACCCCGGAUUCCUCUCUACCUGUGGUGUGCCCCCCUCCACAUUACACUCUGCCCCUGGCUUCUUUGGGUACCAAGAGGGGCCCCACAUGCACGUGGAUGGACACCCCAGGAGUAUGUCAAAGCUCUGUCUGUACCUCCAUGAAUAGCUGCACCUUGGUCAUCCUCAGGGUUAGAAGUAUCUGUCCUCAGGAGGCCAGACAUGAGGAAGAAACCCAAGAAACGGGUUCUCAGUCAUUUGGGUCUCCAGUACCCCAUAUGUAGCGUUUUUGUCGGGAGCGGCGAGGGGAUACCUGGGAGGACACGGGCUCCAGGCAAGCAAAUCUCCGUGAACCUAAGGAGUCUUCAUCUAUACUAAAGGGCAUGGCCAUGGGAAGCCCAGAAUGGAGACUUCGGGUCAAGAGCAGGUCCAGGUACAAAAGCUUCGUGAACGAGUCACGUGAGAGAGAACAAAGGGAAAUGAACUAGGAAGAGUGACAUCCCUACAUUGUACAGGCUGUGCGUGACUGCAGAUCCUUCCGUAGAACUAUCGGCGGGCAGAAGUAGCGACAGGGUCGCGGUUGGGGGUGUGGGGGAGAGGAAAGGGCCAGAUACGGACCGAGGGGUGAGUAAGGAAUCAGAUAUAUGUAUCGCAACGCGCUGAAGAGAUAAGUUCUGUGGCACAGCGUUGGUAAUGCAUUUCGUGACGGCUGAGCGACAGAAUCUGCCUCAGGAUGGGCCUCUCUGGGGGAGUCUGAGGGGCCAGCCUGCGGCAGAAAUGGAACCAGAGAUGACACUUGUGUCCACCUGGCAGCCGCUUCCAGAGACAGGGGUGAGCUGGGCAUUGGUGACAUCACAAAGACAGAUGUGCUCAAGAGGAAGCAUUCCAGUCCUUCUGGGUAUCCUCUGAGAUAAGUAACCAGGAACUCAGGCCAAUUACUCUGGGGCCUCCGCACCCUCAUCCCGAUCCGGUCAGCCAUGCCGUGCCAGCCUCCGUUCUGUCAGGAAGGGGUUUCGCUGUCAGGAGGGUUCAAUCUCGUGCCCAAGGUCACAGGGCUGUAGGUGGCAGAGCUGGGAGUCAAACAAGUCCCUGGGACCCCAGAGCCUCUCUCCUUCCACAAGCCCGCCCAGCACUGAAUGGCGACACCAGGUACAAAGGGGUCAGUGAUCCGCCCACAAUGUGAGGCUCUCGGGCCUUGUUAGGUUGUUUUGAAACAAGGAAAGCCGGUCCGCCUGACUAGAUUCUGUUUUUUAUUUAUUUUUAAAAGGCUGUGAGCUUUGUACUUAUUUUUUUAAUGUCUUAUUGAUUUUUAAGGGAAAGAGAGAGAGCGAGCGAGCACGUGAGCAGGGGAGGGGCAGAGAGAGGGAGGGAGAGAGAGGAUCUGAAGCGGGCUCUGCACCGAGAGCCCGACGCAGGACUCGAACCCACGCACUGCAAGACCGUAACCGGAGCCAACGUCAGACACUUAACCGAGGGAAGCACCCAGGAGCCCCCUGCGCUGCAUUUUAAAGCCCUGACUAGGCAGGUACGUAUGCGUCUCCUGUCUCGGAGAGGUCUGAGACCCAGGCGAGAAACCCGCUUGCAGCUGUAUUCAUUCUCACCGCACAGCUCACAGG